Molecule: ribosomal RNA, 916 nt
Filed under: bioreactor metagenome
Description: bacterial LSU rRNA
Rfam family: Bacterial large subunit ribosomal RNA
Source: RNAcentral
CCUAAGGUAGCGAAAUUCCUUGUCGGGUAAGUUCCGACCUGCACGAAUGGCGUAAUGAUGGCCAGGCUGUCUCCACCCGAGACUCAGUGAAAUUGAACUCGCUGUGAAGAUGCAGUGUACCCGCGGCAAGACGGAAAGACCCCGUGAACCUUUACUAUAGCUUGACACUGAACAUUGAGCCUUGAUGUGUAGGAUAGGUGGGAGGCUUUGAAGCGUGGACGCCAGUCUGCGUGGAGCCAACCUUGAAAUACCACCCUUUAAUGUUUGAUGUUCUAACGUAGGCCCGUGAUCCGGGCUGCGGACAGUGUCUGGUGGGUAGUUUGACUGGGGCGGUCUCCUCCUAAAGAGUAACGGAGGAGCACGAAGGUUAGCUAAUCCUGGUCGGACAUCAGGAGGUUAGUGCAAUGGCAUAAGCUAGCUUGACUGCGAGAGUGACGGCUCGAGCAGGUGCGAAAGCAGGUCAUAGUGAUCCGGUGGUUCUGAAUGGAAGGGCCAUCGCUCAACGGAUAAAAGGUACUCCGGGGAUAACAGGCUGAUACCGCCCAAGAGUUCAUAUCGACGGCGGUGUUUGGCACCUCGAUGUCGGCUCAUCACAUCCUGGGGCUGAAGUAGGUCCCAAGGGUAUGGCUGUUCGCCAUUUAAAGUGGUACGCGAGCUGGGUUUAGAACGUCGUGAGACAGUUCGGUCCCUAUCUGCCGUGGGCGCUGGAGAAUUGAGGGGGGCUGCUCCUAGUACGAGAGGACCGGAGUGGACGCAUCACUGGUGUUCGGGUUGUCAUGCCAAUGGCAUUGCCCGGUAGCUAAAUGCGGAAGAGAUAAGUGCUGAAAGCAUCUAAGCACGAAACUUGCCCCGAGAUGAGUUCUCCCUGAGACUUUAAGUCUCCUGAAGGAACGUUGAAGACGACGACGUUGAUAGG